CCUACGGGCGGCUGCAGUGGGGAAUAUUGGACAAUGGGCGAAAGCCUGAUCCAGCCAUGCCGCGUGUGUGAAGAAGGCCUUCGGGUUGUAAAGCACUUUCAGUGGGGAAGAAAGCCUUGGGGCUAAUACCCUCGAGGAAGGACAUCACCCACAGAAGAAGCACCGGCUAACUCCGUGCCAGCAGCCGCGGUAAUACGGAGGGUGCGAGCGUUAACCGGAAUUACUGGGCGUAAAGCGCGCGUAGGCGGUCUGAUAAGCCGGUUGUGAAAGCCCCGGGCUCAACCUGGGAACGGCAUCCGGAACUGUCAGGCUAGAGUGCAGGAGAGGAAGGUAGAAUUCCCGGUGUAGCGGUGAAAUGCGUAGAGAUCGGGAGGAAUACCAGUGGCGAAGGCGGCCUUCUGGACUGACACUGACGCUGAGGUGCGAAAGCGUGGGUAGCAAACAGGAUUAGAUACCCCGGUAGUC
This 465-nucleotide ribosomal RNA is filed under the name Vreelandella stevensii. RNAcentral's name for it is "partial 16S ribosomal RNA". It matches the Rfam family "Bacterial small subunit ribosomal RNA", at positions 338 to 795 of the family's 1533-position model. Lineage: Bacteria; Pseudomonadati; Pseudomonadota; Gammaproteobacteria; Oceanospirillales; Halomonadaceae. The record is from RNAcentral.